RNAcentral lists this ribosomal RNA (465 nucleotides) under Vreelandella stevensii. RNAcentral describes it as "partial 16S ribosomal RNA". It matches the Rfam family "Bacterial small subunit ribosomal RNA", at positions 338 to 795 of the family's 1533-position model. Lineage: Bacteria; Pseudomonadati; Pseudomonadota; Gammaproteobacteria; Oceanospirillales; Halomonadaceae. The record is from RNAcentral.
CCUACGGGGGGCAGCAGUGGGGAAUAUUGGACAAUGGGGGCAACCCUGAUCCAGCCAUGCCGCGUGUGUGAAGAAGGCCCUCGGGUUGUAAAGCACUUUCAGUGAGGAAGAACGCCUGGUGGUUAAUACCCAUCAGGAAAGACAUCACUCACAGAAGAAGCACCGGCUAACUCCGUGCCAGCAGCCGCGGUAAUACGGAGGGUGCGAGCGUUAAUCGGAAUUACUGGGCGUAAAGCGCGCGUAGGUGGCUUGAUAAGCCGGUUGUGAAAGCCCCGGGCUCAACCUGGGAACGGCAUCCGGAACUGUCAAGCUAGAGUGCAGGAGAGGAAGGUAGAAUUCCCGGUGUAGCGGUGAAAUGCGUAGAGAUCGGGAGGAAUACCAGUGGCGAAGGCAGCCUUCUGGACUGACACUGACACUGAGGUGCGAAAGCGUGGGUAGCAAACAGGAUUAGAUACCCGUGUAGUC